Molecule: ribosomal RNA, 253 nt
Filed under: uncultured bacterium
Lineage: Bacteria
Description: partial 16S ribosomal RNA
Rfam family: Bacterial small subunit ribosomal RNA
Source: RNAcentral
UACAGAGGUGGCAAGCGUUGUUCGGAAUUACUGGGCGUAAAGGGCGCGUAGGCGGUCUUGUAAGUCCCGCGUGAAAUCCCCCGGCUCAACUGGGGAACUGCGUGGGAAACUGCGAGGCUUGAGUUCGGGAGAGGGAAGCGGAAUUCCGGGUGUAGCGGCGGAAUGCGCAGAUAUCAGGAGGAACACCAACGGCGAAGGCAGCUCGCUGGGACGAUACUGACGCUGAGGCGCGAAAGCGUGGGGAGCGAACAGG